AUAUGAUUUCGAAAAUCUAUAUUCAGCAUUCGAAAUUGAACCAGUUUGCCUUACCUUCUACAGAUUUUUGCUAACCCAUACAGCAGAAGUUGAAGCUAAACCGCAAGUCUUAAGAGGAAGCGUAUCUCCUCACUCAUAAGUCAUAUUUUAUUUUCACUAAUAGGUUUUACCAGCAAUGCAGAGGUGUCUUCAUUGCUAUCCUUUGGCUGCCCCCCUCACUGAAAUUGUAUUAACAGAAGUUGAAUAUAAGGCCUUAGAGACUUUACAAGCUGGUUUGAGAUUUUACCUACGUUAUGUAGAUAAUAUUAUUACUGUCUGGAAUAAAGAUUUUGAUCCAAAACUCUUAGAAGAGCAAUUAACUAUUAAGGGUAUGACCUCACGUUAAAACAGCAGCAAUUGAGCCAAAGUGAAGUACAUUUCCUAGAUUUGAAAUUACAAGUGAGAAAUAAAGCUUUGAUUAUUACAGUUUAUAGAAAACCCUCUUAUGAACCAGUGAUUAUCCCAAAUUGGUCUCCAGAUCCAUUUGCCCUUAAAAAAUCUGCAUUU
This 546-nucleotide long non-coding RNA is filed under the name Androctonus crassicauda. Lineage: Eukaryota; Metazoa; Arthropoda; Arachnida; Scorpiones; Buthidae. The record is from RNAcentral.